UGCGCCCGUAGCUCAGGUGGACAGAGCAACGGAUUUCUAAUCCGUAGGUCGCAGGUUCGAGUCCUGCCGGGCGUGA
This 76-nucleotide transfer RNA is filed under the name subsurface metagenome. RNAcentral's name for it is "tRNA-Arg". It matches the Rfam family "tRNA". From Rfam's summary of the family: Transfer RNA (tRNA) molecules are approximately 80 nucleotides in length. Their secondary structure includes four short double-helical elements and three loops (D, anti-codon, and T loops). The record is from RNAcentral.